AUUGAACGCUGGCGGCAUGCCUUACACAUGCAAGUCGAACGGCAGCGGGGACUUCGGUCCGCCGGCGAGUGGCGAACGGGUGAGUAAUGUAUCGGAACGUACCUUUCAGUGGGGGAUAACGUAGCGAAAGUUACGCUAAUACCGCAUAUUCUGUGAGCAGGAAAGCAGGGGAUCGCAAGACCUUGCGCUGAUUGAGCGGCCGAUAUCAGAUUAGCUUGUUGGUGAGGUAAAGGCUCACCAAGGCGACGAUCUGUAGCGGGUCUGAGAGGAUGAUCCGCCACACUGGGACUGAGACACGGCCCAGACUCCUACGGGAGGCAGCAGUGGGGAAUUUUGGACAAUGGGGGCAACCCUGAUCCAGCCAUGCCGCGUGAGUGAAGAAGGCCUUCGGGUUGUAAAGCUCUUUCAGCCGGGAAGAAAUCGCACAGGCUAAUAUCCUGUGUGGAUGACGGUACCGGAAUAAGAAGCACCGGCUAACUACGUGCCAGCCGCCGCCGUAA
RNAcentral lists this ribosomal RNA (500 nucleotides) under uncultured bacterium. RNAcentral's name for it is "partial 16S ribosomal RNA". It matches the Rfam family "Bacterial small subunit ribosomal RNA", at positions 30 to 523 of the family's 1533-position model. The record is from RNAcentral.